RNAcentral lists this non-coding RNA (224 nucleotides) under Streptomyces abyssalis. The record is from RNAcentral. Lineage: Bacteria; Bacillati; Actinomycetota; Actinomycetes; Kitasatosporales; Streptomycetaceae.
UACGCUGGAAGAGCAGUCGGUUCGGCCUGUCCGCCAGGCAGGCACGUCGCAAGAGGGAAUCCGGUGAGAUUCCGGAGCUGCCCCGCAGCGGUGAGUGGGAACGAACGCCGUCAUACGCACUGGGCCCGAGCGGGCCCGGGAAGCGACGGCCAGUAGGUGCCGGUCCGUGACACGGACGCGGCAGGCCCGCGAGUCCGAAGACCUGCCGCUGCCCGUGUACGACG